Molecule: ribosomal RNA, 468 nt
Filed under: uncultured bacterium
Lineage: Bacteria
Description: bacterial SSU rRNA
Rfam family: Bacterial small subunit ribosomal RNA
Source: RNAcentral
UGGCCAGACUCCUACGGGAGGCAGCAGUGAGGAAUAUUGGUCAAUGGCCGUAAGGCUGAACCAGCCAAGUAGCGUGAGGGAAGACUGCCCUAUGGGUUGUAAACCUCUUUUAUGCGGGGAUAAAGGUGUCCACGUGUGGAUGUUUGCAGGUACCGCAUGAAUAAGGACCGGCUAAUUCCGUGCCAGCAGCCGCGGUAAUACGGAAGGUCCGGGCGUUAUCCGGAUUUAUUGGGUUUAAAGGGAGCGUAGGCCGGUCUUUAAGCGUGCCGUGAAAUUUUGUGGCUCAACCAUGAGAGUGCGGCGCGAACUGGAGACCUUGAGUGCGCGGAAGGCAGGCGGAAUUCGUGGUGUAGCGGUGAAAUGCUUAGAGAUCAUACAGAACACCGAUUGCGAAGGCAGCUUACCAAACUAUAUCUGACGUUGAGGCACGAAAGCGUGGGUAGCAAACAGGAUUAGAUACCCGGGUAA